Molecule: ribosomal RNA, 301 nt
Filed under: uncultured bacterium
Lineage: Bacteria
Description: partial 16S ribosomal RNA
Rfam family: Bacterial small subunit ribosomal RNA
Source: RNAcentral
CAGCAGCCACGGUAAUACGUAGGUCCCGAGCGUUGUCCGGAUUUAUUGGGCGUAAAGCGAGCGCAGGCGGUUAGAUAAGUCUGAAGUUAAAGGCUGUGGCUUAACCAUAGUACGCUUUGGAAACUGUUUAACUUGAGUGCAAGAGGGGAGAGUGGAAUUCCAUGUGUAGCGGUGAAAUGCGUAGAUAUAUGGAGGAACACCGGUGGCAAAAGCGGCUCUCUGGCUUGUAACUGACGCUGAGGCUCGAAAGCGUGGGGAGCGAACAGGAUUAGAUACCCCAGUAGUCCCUGUCUCUUAUACA